UACUGCCAGACUGGAACCGGGAGAGGUAAGAGGUACUACAGGGGUAGGAGUGAAAUCUUGUAAUCCCUGUGGGACCACCUGUGGCGAAGGCGUCUUACCAGAACGGUUCGACGGUGAGGGACGAAAGCUGGGGGCACGAACCGGAUUAGAUACCCGGGUAGUCCCAGCCGUAAACGAUGCUCGCUAGGUGUCAGGCAUGGCGCGACCGUGUCUGGUGCCGCAGGGAAGCCGUGAAGCGAGCCACCUGGGAAGUACGGCCGCAAGGCUGAAACUUAAAGGAAUUGGCGGGGGAGCACAACAACGGGUGGAGCCCUGCGGUUUAAUUGGACUCAACGCCGGACAACUCACCGGGGGCGACAGCAAUAUGUAGGCCAAGCUGAAGACUUUGCCUGAAUCGCUGAGUAGUGGUGCAUGG
RNAcentral lists this ribosomal RNA (415 nucleotides) under uncultured archaeon. RNAcentral's name for it is "bacterial SSU rRNA". It matches the Rfam family "Archaeal small subunit ribosomal RNA", at positions 582 to 997 of the family's 1478-position model. The record is from RNAcentral.